CCUACGGGAGGCAGCAGUAGGGAAUAUUGGGCAAUGGGCGAAAGCCUGACCCAGCCACGCCGCGUGCAGGAAGACGGCCCUCUGGGUUGUAAACUGCUUUUGACUGGGAAGAAAGAAGCUCAUGCGUGAGAAGUUGACGGUACCAGUCGAAUAAGCCACGGCUAACUACGUGCCAGCAGCCGCGGUAAUACGUAGGUGGCAAGCGUUAUCCGGAUUUAUUGGGUUUAAAGGGAGCGUAGGCGGCUUAAUAAGUCAGUGGUUAAAGGUAGCAGCUUAACUGUUUUACAUGCCACUGAUACUGUUGAGCUUGAGUUGACAGAAGGCAGAUAGAAUUUCUGGUGUAGCGGUGAAAUGCUUAGAUACCAGAAGGAAUACCGAUUGCGAAGGCAGUCUGCUGCAGUCACACUGACGCUGAGGCUCGAAGGUGCGGGGAUCAAACAGGAUUAGAUACCCUGGUAGUCCGCACAGUAAACGAUGAUUACUAGAUGUUGGCCAAGCCAGUGUCCAAGGGAAACCGAUAAGUAAUCCACCUGGGGAGUACGCCGGCAACGGUGAAACUCAAAGGAAUUGACGGCGUGAGAGAGCGACGGACGACACGAGGGAGGAGG
This 608-nucleotide ribosomal RNA is filed under the name uncultured bacterium. RNAcentral describes it as "bacterial SSU rRNA". It matches the Rfam family "Bacterial small subunit ribosomal RNA", at positions 338 to 953 of the family's 1533-position model. The record is from RNAcentral.